Molecule: ribosomal RNA, 421 nt
Filed under: uncultured bacterium
Lineage: Bacteria
Description: bacterial SSU rRNA
Rfam family: Bacterial small subunit ribosomal RNA
Source: RNAcentral
AAGGAAUAUUGGGCAAUGGACGCAAGUCUGACCCAGCCAUGCCGCGUGGAGGAUGAAGGUCCUCUGGAUUGUAAACUUCUUUUAUCAGAGAAGAAACCCGGGAAUUCUUUCCCGGUUGACGGUACCUGAUGAAUAAGCACCGGCUAACUACGUGCCAGCAGCCGCGGUAAUACGUAGGCAGCAAGCGUUGUUCGGAGUUACUGGGCGUAAAGAGUGCGUAGGCGGUUUUCUAAGUUCGGUGUGAAAUCUCCCGGCUUAACUGGGAGGGGGGGCCGAAGACUGGGAAGCUGGAGUGUGGGAAAGGCAGGCGGAAUUCCUGGUGUAGCGGUGAAAUGCGUAGAUAUCAGGAGGAACACCGGCGGUGUAGACGGCUUGCUAGACCAUAACUGACGCUGAGGCACGAAAGCGUGGGUAGCAAACA